Zingiber officinale is the source of this 980-nucleotide long non-coding RNA. RefSeq lists it as uncharacterized. The transcript has 4 exons. Lineage: Eukaryota; Viridiplantae; Streptophyta; Magnoliopsida; Zingiberales; Zingiberaceae. The record is from RefSeq and is a predicted model, not a curated record.
CCUCGCGCCGACCAUCUCUUCACCCCACUCACGCCGAUGCGUCUCUGCCCCGAUGCCAUAGUCUCCGAUCACGCCGGUGUUGUUCCGCCGACCGAGGCCCUUCUCCACCGAUCGUUGGAGUUCAACCGGUGGUUCUUCUUCUUGAGCCGUCAUUCCUGUACGGGUAGAUCGUUCGUUAAGAGUGGUUCGAGCCCUAGAUCUGAUCUCUCACCGCCGCACCUUUGCACAUCGCAGUUUCAACCAUCGGACCAUGCUACUCCAACCAAUAUGUGCCCUAGUUGUGAUGUCACCCUAUUUUUUUCCUCGGCUUACCAUCACCGCGGUAUUCUGAUUUUCUGUGAGAGAUCUCAGAUCUGAUAAGGGCUCCAGCGAGGAGAUUGGCCACGGGUGGCUAGCCGCUGCCACCAGAUCCUUUACUCCGGCUAGUUCCCUAGCUCUAGGGUCAGUGCUAGACCUUUAUCUCGGGUUCAACGUGAGGUUUCCGGCCUGGAUCUCCAGAAGAGCACAGUUCCAAUUAAACAACUCUGUUCUGGCCAGAAAUCAAGGAUCGACUAUGAGGGGGCAGCGACUGCAUGGUAGCUUUGGCCAGGAAUCCUUGGCAUCAGCCUUCUCCGGCUGUGAGAUAACAGCAAAGUCUCAAUAUUAGGGCAUUGAUUCGAAACGAGCGUCUCGACGUGGGAUUGUUUAGCACGAUCGACAUAUAAAGGUUGAAGCCGUCAGAAGGUUCCAGUUGCUAGUUCCCACUCCAUGUCGAGAUAGUUUUUUAUUUUCAGAAUUUGGUUCCUUGUUAUGUGAUCUACAUACUUGUAAUCUUUAGUUCUUGCACUCGUGCAUUUUAUAUUGAGUUUUUGGUACGAUGUCCAUGUUUUUCAGCUACGAUGGUUUUCCGUUGUGGGUUGUGUUAACCUCUUUGUAGUGGAGUAAGUUUUAUAUUAAACUAUGUGGAAUGUUUACUUAUUUUAUCAUAUAUGUUCUGGCCA